This 691-nucleotide ribosomal RNA is filed under the name uncultured bacterium. Its description in RNAcentral is "bacterial SSU rRNA". It matches the Rfam family "Bacterial small subunit ribosomal RNA", at positions 32 to 715 of the family's 1533-position model. The record is from RNAcentral.
AACGCUAGCUACAGGCUUAACACAUGCAAGUCGAGGGGCAGCAUAAAAGUAGCAAUACUUUGGUGGCGACCGGCGCACGGGUGAGUAACGCGUAUGCAACCUACCUAUCAGAGGGGAAUAACCCGGCGAAAGUCGGACUAGUACCGCAUAAAACAGGGGCACCGCAUGGUGAUAUUUGUUAAAGAAAUUCGCUGAUAGAUGGGCAUGCGUUCCAUUAGGUAGUUGGUGAGGUAACGGCUCACCAAGCCGACGAUGGAUAGGGGAACUGAGAGGUUGGUCCCCCACACUGGUACUGAGACACGGACCAGACUCCUACGGGAGGCAGCAGUGAGGAAUAUUGGUCAAUGGGCGAGAGCCUGAACCAGCCAAGUAGCGUGAAGGAUGACUGCCCUAUGGGUUGUAAACUUCUUUUAUACGGGAAUAACACGCGGCACGUGUGCCGCUCUGCAUGUACCGUAUGAAUAAGCAUCGGCUAACUCCGUGCCAGCAGCCGCGGUAAUACGGAGGAUGCGAGCGUUAUCCGGAUUUAUUGGGUUUAAAGGGAGCGUAGACGGGUCCUUAAGUCAGUUGUGAAAGUUUGCGGCUCAACCGUAAAAUUGCAGUUGAUACUGGGGACCUUGAGUGCGGCAGAGGCAGGCGGAAUUCGUGGUGUAGCGGUGAAAUGCUUAGAUAUCACGAAGAACUCCGAUUG